AACGAACGCUGGCGGCAUGCCUAACACAUGCAAGUCGAACGAGACCUUCGGGUCUAGUGGCGCACGGGUGCGUAACGCGUGGGAACCUGCCCUUAGGUUCGGAAUAACUCCCCGAAAGGGGUGCUAAUACCGGAUAAUGUCUUCGGACCAAAGAUUUAUCGCCUUUGGAUGGGCCCGCGUUGGAUUAGCUAGUUGGUAGGGUAAAAGCCUGCCAAGGCGGCGAUCCAUAGCUGGUCUGAGAGGAUGAUCAGCCACACUGGGACUGAGACACGGCCCAGACUCCUACGGGAGGCAGCAGUGGGGAAUAUUGGACAAUGGGCGAAAGCCUGAUCCAGCAAUGCCGCGUGAGUGAUGAAGGCCUUAGGGUUGUAAAGCUCUUUUACCCGGGAUGAUAAUGACAGUACCGGGAGAAUAAGCUCCGGCUAACUCCGUG
Molecule: ribosomal RNA, 433 nt
Filed under: uncultured bacterium
Lineage: Bacteria
Description: partial 16S ribosomal RNA
Rfam family: Bacterial small subunit ribosomal RNA
Source: RNAcentral